AUUGAACGCUGGCGGCAUGCUUUACACAUGCAAGUCGAACGGCAACGAGGAGAAGCUUGCUUCUCUGUCGGCGAGUGGCGCACGGGUGAGUAUAGCAUCGGAACGUGCCAAGUAGUGGGGGAUAACCAAACGAAAGUUUGGCUAAUACCGCGUAAGCUCCAAGGAGGAAAGUAGGGGACCUAAAUAAGGCCUUCCGCUAUUUGAUCGGCCGAUGUCGGAUUAGCUAGUUGGUGGGGUAAUGGCUCACCAAGGCAAUGAUCCGUAGCGGGUCUGAGAGGACGAUCCGCCACACUGGGACUGAGACACGGCCCAGACUCCUACGGGAGGCAGCAGUGGGGAAUUUUGGACAAUGGGGGAAACCCUGAUCCAGCCAUGCCGCGUGUAUGAAGAAGGCCUUAGGGUUGUAAAGUACUUUUGUUAGGGAAGAAAAGCUAGUUUUUAAUAAAAAUUAGUGAUGACGGUACCUAAAGAAUAAGCACCGGCUAACUACGUG
RNAcentral lists this ribosomal RNA (493 nucleotides) under uncultured bacterium. RNAcentral's name for it is "partial 16S ribosomal RNA". It matches the Rfam family "Bacterial small subunit ribosomal RNA", at positions 30 to 507 of the family's 1533-position model. The record is from RNAcentral.